This 253-nucleotide ribosomal RNA is filed under the name uncultured bacterium. RNAcentral's name for it is "partial 16S ribosomal RNA". It matches the Rfam family "Bacterial small subunit ribosomal RNA", at positions 524 to 776 of the family's 1533-position model. The record is from RNAcentral.
UACGGUGGGAGCAAGCGUUGUUCGGAUUUACUGGGCGUAAAGGGCGCGUAGGCGGCCAGACAGGUCCGUUGUGAAAACUCGAGGCUCAACCUCGAGAUGUCGAUGGAAACCGUCUGGCUAGAGUCCGGAAGAGGAGUGUGGAAUUCCUGGUGUAGCGGUGAAAUGCGCAGAUAUCAGGAAGAACACCUAUGGCGAAGGCAGCACUCUGGGACGGUACUGACGCUGAGACGCGAAAGCGUGGGGAGCGAACAGG